Molecule: long non-coding RNA, 2351 nt
Filed under: Prunus persica (peach)
Lineage: Eukaryota; Viridiplantae; Streptophyta; Magnoliopsida; Rosales; Rosaceae
Description: long non-coding RNA (PPER_LNC002457)
Source: RNAcentral
UUCUUCGAAUGCUAAAGCCAAUGCUUGCACCAUACUCAUUAUAAAGAUCAUAAGCUUCUUGCUCGUUGUACACAAUCUUCCCAUACAAAUUUUCAUCGGAAGAUUCUUCAAGAUUCCCAAACGUUGGAUUUUUUUCUUGAUCGUUGCUUUUGGUAUUUUCUUCAUCACUUCCGAGAUCAAUGACUACAUUAUUCAACGAAAGAAAUAAUUUUUGUGAGAUGAUAAUGAAUAACUAUAGGAAGAAAUAAUUUUCGUAGCAUAUAACACAAAAAUAAAUUUAAAAAAUCAAUAAAUUGAGUAGAUUAGAAGGUAAUAUAACAUAUCAAUGAUAAUAACUAUAGGAAGCAAUAAAAAGAAAGAAAAUAUUUAUCCAAACAACGCAGCACAAACCACUGAUCUGUGAUAUUUUUAUUCUACUGUGCAAAUAUGUUGUAAUAGUAAUUUAAAAUGUAAAGAAACACUUGUACCAUAAAAAAAAAAAUAAAAGAAAUUAAAAGACGAUGCUGGAGCAAAGCCAAUACAUGUGCAUAAGUUGAUGUUUGGGUGGAGGGGUGAGGGAACCCCAAUGUUCAAAUAACCUGGAGCAAAGCCAAUAUAAUAAUCCAAUGAAUCAAAACUCAUGAAACAGUAACUCAAAAGUAACCUAGAGCAAAGCCAAUUAAAAAAAUACAUGUUGAAAUCAAAAGUAACUCAAACCACAAUAUAAUAAUCCAAUGAAACCAAAACUCAUGAAACAGUCUUGAAAACUAAAAAAGUAAAGACAUGUGAGAGUAGGGAGCAAGUCAUCACCUUUUUCUUUGUCCAUGGAUAGAGUAGCUGAAAACGUACAACAUGUUGCUGUCCCUGACGGAAAAAGGGUUGUUGUCAGAGAAAAUUUGAUGUAAGAUUCCUCGAUCCGCCACUCAUUAUAGUAGGAGUAUGCCAUUUGUUUAUUGCCCCUGUAUUGCCAUUGUAUUGCCCUUUAUAACCUUUUGUUUAAGGCAUGUGGGCCAUGUGUCGGUGAUCUGUCUCAGACUCAGAAUUAUCCCCACAUCGUCUAGAGCACGAUGAUAUGCUAAGUUUGGUAAAAUUCUGUCGUUUGAUGCUUGUUGAAGCAAACCACACAUAACAUCGAGUUUUGUAGCAAUCUCAUUAUUAGUACUUACCUCAUAGGCACCAAACUUCUUAAAGCUCCUCUUCCCCUAUUGUAGCUCCAAAAAAGGCAAGUAAUCUCUCCUCAUUAAGGGUUUUCAUUAGGCAUUAACCUGUAGUGAUUAGUGAAUAGUAUUAUUGUCGAAUAUAGCAUCAACAAUGUUGUUAUGAUGAAGCGUUUUUUUUAUUUAUAAAAAAAACGCAAUUAAAACUAAAAUUUGCUCAACUAAACAAGUAAAACCACAAAUUUAAAACUAAACAUUUCAAUAGCACCUAACUUUUUUGGUUUCCUCCAACUAUUUUGAGGUGGAGUUGGUGGUGGUGGGUGAUGUGGAGGUGGAGUUAGUAGUGGUGGUGGUUGUGGUUGUGGUGCAGGUGGGGGUCGUGGUGGUACUGAUGGUAGUGGUGUUGGUGGUGGAGGUGGUGGCUGAUGGGUGAUAGUGGUUGUGGUGGUAGUAAUGGUAGCAGUGGUGGUAGUGGUGGUAGUAAUGGUAGCAGUAGUGGUAGUGGUAGAGGACUAGGAUGAGCAUAAUUAGUACUAGGAUAUCCAUUAAUAGCAUGACUAUUAAUAUGACGUGGUUCAAGAGCUCCAUUUUUGGUAUUGCAAUUUGCAUGUUGGCUUACUUGGCAACUCUAAAGUAUGUACCAUUGAAAGUAAUAUGUGCCCCUUCUGAUGUGGGCAAGUUCUUUAGCAGCUUCGUAUUUCACACUAUAUUCAAUGACGCUCCAACUAAUGAAAUACAAUAUUAGAUUAAAAGAUAAUGCAUGCUCAAUAAUCAUUUAUUUUUCCACUCUUCUCAUCAAUCUCCUUAUCAACAAGACAUAAACCUUUUUUUUAAAUCUGUAAUGUAACUGAAAACUAAAUCCUGAGUGAAAGAAUAGAAAACCCUAAUUAUCACCACCAAUCAACUUGAUAAGUAUUAAUAUGUGGAUGUUUACUCGAUGGGAUCUCGAGCCUCUCCAUUUAGUGAUGAUUCCUCAAUUGUUCUAAAAAUUUCCCGAUCUGGUAGCAUCAGUCUCAUCAAGUGAAAUUUUAAAAAAUAAAAAUAAAAAUAAAAAUAAAAAACCCUAGAUUCUCAAAUUAAAAUUAACAAGAGAGAGAGAGAGAGAGGCACCGACUCCAAAACCAUAUUCGGCUCAUGAACUCAACCCAAAAGCUAUACUUCUUAUUGUUGUUGUUGCAGCUGCACUCGUUGUUGCUGUGACUUGACACCUAGUUG